GAUGAACGCUAGCGACAGGCUUAACACAUGCAAGUCGAGGGGCAGCAGGGGAGUAGCAAUACUCCCGCUGGCGACCGGCGCACGGGUGAGUAACACGUAUGCAACCUGCCCUUGUCAGGGGGAUAAGCGGAAGAAAUUCCGUCUAAUACCGCAUAAUGCUGCGGGGAGACAUCUCCCUGCAGCCAAAGAUUUAUCGGACAAGGAUGGGCAUGCGGCGCAUUAGCUUGUUGGCGGGGUAACGGCCCACCAAGGCGACGAUGCGUAGGGGUUCUGAGAGGAAGGUCCCCCACACUGGUACUGAGACACGGACCAGACUCCUACGGGAGGCAGCAGUGAGGAAUAUUGGUCAAUGGCCGGGAGGCUGAACCAGCCAAGUCGCGUGAGGGAAGACGGUCCUAUGGAUUGUAAACCUCUUUUGUCAGGGAGCAAAAACUGCCACGUGUGGCAGGAUGAGAGUACCUGAAGAAAAAGCAUCGGCUAACUCCGUGCCAGCAGCCGCGGUAAUACGGAGGAUGCGAGCGUUAUCCGGAUUUAUUGGGUUUAAAGGGUGCGUAGGCGGACAGUUAAGUCAGCGGUAAAAUUGAGAGGCUCAACCUCUUCCCGCCGUUGAAACUGAUUGUCUUGAGUGGGCGAGAAGUAUGCGGAAUGCGUGGUGUAGCGGUGAAAUGCAUAGAUAUCACGCAGAACUCCGAUUGCGAAGGCAGCAUACCGGCGCCCAACUGACGCUGAAGCACGAAAGCGUGGGUAUCGAACAGGAUUAGAUACCCUGGUAGUCCACGCAGUAAACGAUGAAUACUAAUUGUUCGGGUCAAAUGAGAUCUGAGUGAUACAGCGAAAGCGUUAAGUAUUCCACCUGGGGAGUACGCCGGCAACGGUGAGACUCAAAGGAAUUGACGGGGGCCCGCACAAGCGGAGGAACAUGUGGUUUAAUUCGAUGAUACGCGAGGAACCUUACCCGGGCUCAAACGACACAGGAAUGAUCUGAGAAAUCAGGCAGUCCUCCGGGACCUGUGUCGAGGUGCUGCAUGGUUGUCGUCAGCUCGUGCCGUGAGGUGUCGGCUUAAGUGCCAUAACGAGCGCAACCCCCAUCGACAGUUGCCAGCAGGUCAAGCUGGGCACUCUGUCGAGACUGCCGGCGCAAGCUGUGAGGAAGGCGGGGAUGACGUCAAAUCAGCACGGCCCUUACGUCCGGGGCGACACACGUGUUACAAUGGCAGGUACAGCGGGAAGCCACCUGGCGACAGGGAGCGGAACCCGAAAGCCUGUCUCAGUUCGGAUUGGAGUCUGCAACUCGACUCCAUGAAGCUGGAUUCGCUAGUAAUCGCGCAUCAGCCACGGCGCGGUGAAUACGUUCCCGGGCCU
Molecule: ribosomal RNA, 1362 nt
Filed under: uncultured bacterium
Lineage: Bacteria
Description: 16S ribosomal RNA
Rfam family: Bacterial small subunit ribosomal RNA
Source: RNAcentral